CACGUAGGGGGCGAGCGUUGUCCGGAUUUAUUGGGCGUAAAGAGCUCGUAGGCGGCUGAGUAAGUCGGGCGUGAAAUUUCAGGGCUCAACCCUGAAACGCCGCUCGAUACUGCUCUGGCUAGAGUCCGGUAGGGGAGCGUGGAAUUCCCAGUGUAGCGGUGAAAUGCGCAGAUAUUGGGAGGAACACCGGCGGCGAAGGCGGCGCUCUGGGCCGAGACUGACGCUGAGGAGCGAAAGCGUGGGGAGCAAACAGG
RNAcentral lists this ribosomal RNA (254 nucleotides) under uncultured bacterium. RNAcentral's name for it is "partial 16S ribosomal RNA". It matches the Rfam family "Bacterial small subunit ribosomal RNA", at positions 524 to 776 of the family's 1533-position model. The record is from RNAcentral.